RNAcentral lists this transfer RNA (71 nucleotides) under Stegodyphus mimosarum. It matches the Rfam family "tRNA". Rfam says of the family: Transfer RNA (tRNA) molecules are approximately 80 nucleotides in length. Lineage: Eukaryota; Metazoa; Arthropoda; Arachnida; Araneae; Eresidae. The record is from Rfam by way of RNAcentral.
GUCUUCGUGGUGUAACGGUAGCACACGCGGCUCCUAACCGGGAGGUCCAGGUUCAAGUCCCACCGAAGACA